This 647-nucleotide unclassified non-coding RNA is filed under the name Bradyrhizobium sp. RNAcentral describes it as "partial 16S-23S ribosomal RNA intergenic spacer". The stretch from base 514 to 647 matches the Rfam family "Bacterial large subunit ribosomal RNA", at positions 1 to 132 of the family's 2925-position model. The record is from RNAcentral. Lineage: Bacteria; Pseudomonadati; Pseudomonadota; Alphaproteobacteria; Hyphomicrobiales; Nitrobacteraceae.
AGUCUUCCCAGGCCCACCACUUUCAUCGAGUGAGCAUUCGUCUUCUGGUUACGGGGCCAUAGCUCAGCUGGGAGAGCGCGUGCUUUGCAAGCAUGAGGUCGUCGGUUCGAUCCCGUCUGGCUCCACCAGAUGGUUUGAUCACCUGCGACUGACCGUCGUCCGCGAAACAUCACUUCGCAUUCACUAGUCUGGAUAGACAGUGAACUGCGUGUUUUCUGACAUCGUAAAGAGGAGAUCGAUCCGAGUUGGGUCGUGCAGCAGAUUGUUGCGCGGAUCCUUCAUUAUCUCCGGAUCAUUUUCGGCGCUCGCUUUCAGCCGUGAGGCUGAACGCGAGUUGUAAAAUGAUCCUUUUAGCGAAGCUUGACCGCCUCGCUAUCGGAACGAUCUUACGAAGCAAGCUGGUCUUUCUAGUCAAUGUCCGGCUGUGAGAAUAGCGCUCGUCGAGGGCGCGUGCCGCAGGGCGGUUCUUACAGGCAGCAUUCUGCCGAGUGUGUGGACAUUGAUAAUGAGAGCAAUCAAGUGCCUUAAGGGUGUUCGGUGGAUGCCUUGGCGCUGAGAGGCGAUGAAGGACGUGCUACGCUGCGAUAAGCCGUGGGGAGCUGCGAAGAAGCUUUGAUCCGCGGAUUUCCGAAUGGGGAAAACCCGGA